This 72-nucleotide transfer RNA is filed under the name Bos taurus (domestic cattle). It matches the Rfam family "tRNA". From Rfam's summary of the family: Transfer RNA (tRNA) molecules are approximately 80 nucleotides in length. Their secondary structure includes four short double-helical elements and three loops (D, anti-codon, and T loops). Lineage: Eukaryota; Metazoa; Chordata; Mammalia; Artiodactyla; Bovidae. RNAcentral also lists the same sequence under 2 other names. The record is from Rfam by way of RNAcentral.
UCCCUGGUAGUCCAGUGAUUGAAUCUCUGCACUUCCACUGCAGGGGCACAGGUUCGAUCCCUGGUCAGGGAA